RNAcentral lists this ribosomal RNA (426 nucleotides) under uncultured bacterium. RNAcentral's name for it is "bacterial SSU rRNA". It matches the Rfam family "Bacterial small subunit ribosomal RNA", at positions 30 to 458 of the family's 1533-position model. The record is from RNAcentral.
AUUGAACGCUGGCGGCAUGCCUUACACAUGCAAGUCGAACGGCAGCACGGGAGCAAUCCUGGUGGCGAGUGGCGAACGGGUGAGUAAUAUAUCGGAACGUGCCCAGUCGUGGGGAUAACGUAGCGAAAGCUACGCUAAUACCGCAUACGAUCUACGGAUGAAAGCGGGGGAUCGCAAGACCUCGCGCGAUUGGAGCGGCCGAUAUCAGAUUAGGUAGUUGGUGAGGUAAAGGCUCACCAAGCCGACGAUCUGUAGCUGGUCUGAGAGGACGACUAGCCACACUGGGACUGAGACACGGCCCAGACUCCUACGGGAGGCAGCAGUGGGGAAUUUUGGACAAUGGGCGCAAGCCUGAUCCAGCAAUGCCGCGUGCAGGAUGAAGGCCUCGGUUGUAAACUAGCUUUUGUACGGUAACGAAACGGUGAG